GGCAUAGUGGUUGGAUCGUUAGACUAGGACUCUAGAGACCAGGGUUCGAGUCCUGGCUCAGCCA
This is a non-coding RNA of Phrynosoma platyrhinos (Desert horned lizard), 64 nucleotides long. The record is from the annotation of a GenBank genome assembly. Lineage: Eukaryota; Metazoa; Chordata; Lepidosauria; Squamata; Phrynosomatidae.